Strigops habroptila (Kakapo) is the source of this 2084-nucleotide RNA transcript. It is a transcript of the gene named ILK associated serine/threonine phosphatase, with no coding region annotated. The transcript has 11 exons. The record is from RefSeq and is a predicted model, not a curated record. Lineage: Eukaryota; Metazoa; Chordata; Aves; Psittaciformes; Psittacidae.
CGGCCCCGCCGGGCCUGCUGCAGCGCGCCGUGGGCAGCGCGCCUCUGCGGGCGGAGGUGCCGGCUCCAGGCCGCCGCUGCAACGAGCGCACCGGGGCGGUGACAGCUGAGGGCUCCCAGCGCUUGAGGGGCGGGGGAGAAGAGAGCGGGGCGUGUGAGGAGGCGGCUGCAAGAGGGGAUGACCCGGUUUGGGUUUGUUUUGGAGGGGUUUCUGUGCUUUUCUCUUUCCCUGGGACUCGUUCGGACGCGGGGUGUUAGCCGUGCUGGAGCCUUUCCCCUCACUGUGGUGCUGUGGGUCGGGCUGCGGAGAGCUGUGAUGUUGUUACCUGAAAUAAUUUGGUGCUUUCUGGGCCACUCCAGCGCUAUAGCGUCUCAAUUGGGCUGGCGAGGGGUGGUAAUGCAUUUUGAGUGGGUUGCUGGAAACCAAGCAAACAAGUUCUUUUCAAGACGAAAGUUCGCAUCACCCCCAGGCAAGUGGUUGUCCUGCUUAUGUAGGAGCUGCCUAAAUUUAAGGUGGGCAAAAGGUAGACAAGGCUUUCCUCAGUCACCCCACGUGUGCUCAGCUGGAGGGCAGUCCUUCCGGAAACCAACCCCCGAGUGCAUGCAGUGGGUCCUGACUUUGUCCUGGUGCCUUACAGGGAAGGAAGCCCAGAAAGGGCCUCUCCUCUUUGACGAUCUCCCGCCAGCCAGCAGUGCUGACUCAGGAAAAGGAGGCUCUUUACUCUUUGAUGAUCUUCCGCCAGCCAGCAGUGGUGACACAGCUUCCAGUGCUACCGAGCAGGUCUCAUCAGCAGGGAGCCACGGGAAAGGGGAGAAGAGAAAGUCCUUGGAGGAGGAAGAAAAGAAUGGCAGGGAAGAACUUGUGGAAAAGAAAGUUUGUAAAGGGUCAGUGGGCAUUCUUGGAUUGAAGGGUUAUGUGGCAGAGAGGAAAGGUGAAAGAGAAGACAUGCAGGAUGCACAUGUCAUCUUAAAUGAUAUCACCAAGGAAUGCCAGCCUCUGCCCUCCCAAAUCACACGUGUCUCGUACUUCGCUGUAUUUGAUGGCCAUGGGGGAGUCCGAGCCUCAAAAUUUGCAGCACAGAAUCUGCACCAGAACCUGAUUAAGAAAUUUCCUAAAGGUGAGGUAGCCAGCGUGGAGAAAACUGUGAAGAGAUGCCUUUUGGACACCUUCAAACACACGGAUGAAGAGUUUCUAAAGCAGGCGUCCAGCCAGAAGCCAGCAUGGAAGGAUGGCUCCACAGCUACUUGUGUCCUAGCUGUCGACAACACUCUCUACAUAGCCAACCUUGGGGACAGCCGGCACAGGCGAUUCUGUGUCGUUAUAAUGAAGACAGUCAAAAACAUGCAGCCUUAAGCCUCAGUAAGGAGCAUAACCCCACCCAGUAUGAGGAGCGUAUGCGGAUACAGAAAGCUGGAGGAAAUGUCAGGGACGGAAGAGUCCUGGGAGUGCUGGAGGUUUCCCGCUCCAUUGGGGAUGGCCAGUACAAACGCUGUGGUGUUAUCUCUGUGCCAGAUAUCAAACGCUGCCAACUCACACACAAUGACAGGUUCAUUCUGAUAGCGUGUGAUGGCCUCUUUAAAGUCUUUACACCAGAAGAAGCUGUAAACUUCAUUGUUUCCUGCCUUGAGGAUAAAAACAUCCAGACGAGAGAAGGGAAGCUGGAAGCAGAUGCUAGGUAUGAAGCUGCAUGUAACCGACUGGCCAACAAGGCAGUGCAGCGAGGAUCGGCGGACAAUGUCACAGUCAUGGUGGUGCGGAUAGAGCACUGAAUGAUGAGGAGCAGCAGCAGGUUCCCCAGCUUCUGGUGGAUGUAAGGGAAGGGAGAAGUCUGUGUGUGUGCAUGUGUGGCCAGGGGAGGGAGGGUCCUGCUGGAUGCUCUUCAGUGUAAAUAAAGUUGGGUUGGUUUUUUUUCUAAUAGUUAUAGCUCACUUGGCUAGCAGGUUUUUUUAAGUGUCUGCCACAGUGGAUCCGCCUUUGCGGGAAUCUCUUGUCCUGUCAACCUUCCGCGAAUGUCUUGGCAAACCAAAUAAAUCCAUUUGGCAGAGGUGCUAGCAAGAGCAGGUAUCUGUGGGCAUGCAGCCUGA